AUGCGGCGAGAGGGACGGCAGCGAGGGUGGGUGCGCGUGUACGACCGCGCCCUGGUGGACCCGGAGGGCAAGCGCCGCGCCGUGCACGUCGUCGACGGCCCCGUGGUGGCCAACGGCGGCUUCAUCCGGGCGCCGCGGAAGCCGACCAACCAAUCCAAGUCCGGCGGCCUCCGCGCGCUCGGCAGGGACGCCCUCAUGGACGAGGAGGACGAGCCGCAGGCCCUUCCGCCGGAGAACAAGCGCUUCGGCUACUACUACUCCAAGGGGUGGCAGUCGCCGUUCAAGUAUGAGGCCACGUCAGGGCAACGGCUGUCGUGGAAGUACGACGCCGCCGAGCACGAGGAGGUGCACGCUCGCCAGCCGCCGCCGGCAGCGCGUUCCGAGGGCAGAUCGGCGUGCAAGGGGAGCCGCAAGUUCAGGCACGACGAGAUCAAGACGUACUAUCUCGACGCAGCCGACGUAGUCGAUGAGCAGCUCGAUUGUCUCUGUGAUUUCGAUUCAUGA
RNAcentral lists this ribosomal RNA (504 nucleotides) under Triticum aestivum (bread wheat). RNAcentral describes it as "partial small subunit ribosomal RNA". Lineage: Eukaryota; Viridiplantae; Streptophyta; Magnoliopsida; Poales; Poaceae. The record is from RNAcentral.